CUCGAGUGGCGAACGGGUGAGUAACACGUGGGUGAUCUGCCCUGCACUUUGGGAUAAGCCUGGGAAACUGGGUCUAAUACCGAAUAGGACCAUGGGAUGCAUGUCUUGUGGUGGAAAGCUUUUGCGGUGUGGGAUGGGCCCGCGGCCUAUCAGCUUGUUGGUGGGGUGAUGGCCUACCAAGGCGACGACGGGUAGCCGGCCUGAGAGGGUGUCCGGCCACACUGGGACUGAGAUACGGCCCAGACUCCUACGGGAGGCAGCAGUGGGGAAUAUUGCACAAUGGGCGCAAGCCUGAUGCAGCGACGCCGCGUGGGGGAUGACGGCCUUCGGGUUGUAAACCCCUUUCAGUACCGACGAAGCGUAAGUGACGGUAGGUACAGAAGAAGCACCGGCCAACUACGUGCCAGCAGCCGCGGUAAUACGUAGGGUGCGAG
This 434-nucleotide ribosomal RNA is filed under the name Mycobacterium sp. SH2005-1. Its description in RNAcentral is "bacterial SSU rRNA". It matches the Rfam family "Bacterial small subunit ribosomal RNA", at positions 90 to 538 of the family's 1533-position model. The record is from RNAcentral. Lineage: Bacteria; Bacillati; Actinomycetota; Actinomycetes; Mycobacteriales; Mycobacteriaceae.